This 773-nucleotide ribosomal RNA is filed under the name Prevotella sp. 1alac4_x1. RNAcentral describes it as "bacterial SSU rRNA". It matches the Rfam family "Bacterial small subunit ribosomal RNA", at positions 61 to 823 of the family's 1533-position model. The record is from RNAcentral. Lineage: Bacteria; Pseudomonadati; Bacteroidota; Bacteroidia; Bacteroidales; Prevotellaceae.
GUCGCGGGGCAGCAUGGGGGUUGCUUGCAACCCCCGAUGGCGACCGGCGCACGGGUGAGUAACGCGUAUCCAACCUGCCCUUCACCACGGGAUAACCCGGCGAAAGUCGGACUAAUACCGUAUGUUGUCCAUUGACGGCAUCCGAUUUGGACGAAAGGCUUGGCGGUGAAGGAUGGGGAUGCGUCCGAUUAGCCAGACGGCGGGGUAACGGCCCACCGUGGCGACGAUCGGUAGGGGUUCUGAGAGGAAGGUCCCCCACACUGGAACUGAGACACGGUCCAGACUCCUACGGGAGGCAGCAGUGAGGAAUAUUGGUCAAUGGGCGUAAGCCUGAACCAGCCAAGUAGCGUGCAGGAUGACGGCCCUAUGGGUUGUAAACUGCUUUUAUGCGGGGAUAAAGGAGCCCACGUGUGGGCUUUUGCAGGUACCGCAUGAAUAAGGACCGGCUAAUUCCGUGCCAGCAGCCGCGGUAAUACGGAAGGUCCGGGCGUUAUCCGGAUUUAUUGGGUUUAAAGGGAGCGUAGGCCGCGCCUUAAGCGUGUUGUGAAAUCCGGGUGCUCAACAUCCGGCUUGCAGCGCGAACUGGGGCGCUUGAGUGCGCAGAAAGUAGGCGGAAUUCGUGGUGUAGCGGUGAAAUGCUUAGAUAUCACGAGGAACUCCGAUUGCGAAAGCAGCCUACUGUAGCGCUACUGACGCUGAUGCUCGAAAGCGUGGGUAUCGAACAGGAUUAGAUACCCUGGUAGUCCACGCGGUAAACGAUGGAUGCUCGUUGU